CUUUAACCGGGGGAUAGCCUUUCGAAAGAGAGAUUAAUACCGCAUAAAACAGCAGUCUGGCAUCAGAUAACUGUUAAAGCUUCGGUGGUUAAAGAUGGGCAUGCGUGCCAUUAGCUAGUUGGGGAGGUAACGGCUCACCAAGGCAACGAUGGCUAGGGGAUCUGAGAGGAUGGUCCCCCACACUGGUACUGAGAUACGGACCAGACUCCUACGGGAGGCAGCAGUAAGGAAUAUUGGUCAAUGGGCGCAAGCCUGAACCAGCCAUGCCGCGUGCAGGAAGACGGCCCUACGGGUUGUAAACUGCUUUUGUCGGGGAAAAAAUCAUUUUACGUGUAGGAUGUUGAUGGUACCCGAAGAAUAAGGAUCGGCUAACUCCGUGCCAGCAGCCGCGGUAAUACGGAGGAUCCAAGCGUUAUCCGGAUUUAUUGGGUUUAAAGGGUGCGUAGGCGGCUUUGUAAGUCAGUGGUGAAAGCCUUCAGCUUAACUGGAGAAAUGCCAUUGAUACUGCAGGGCUUGAGUACAGAUGAAGUGGGCGGAAUGUGUCAAGUAGCGGUGAAAUGCAUAGAUAUGACACAGAACACCGAUUGCGAAGGCAGCUCACUAAGGUGUAACUGACGCUGAGGCACGAAAGCGUGGGGAUCAAACAGGAUUAGAUACCCUGGUAGUCCACGCCCUAAACGAUGAUGACUCGCUGUCGGCGAUAGACAGUCGGCGGCUAAGCGAAAGCGUUAAGUCAUCCA
RNAcentral lists this ribosomal RNA (740 nucleotides) under uncultured soil bacterium. RNAcentral describes it as "bacterial SSU rRNA". It matches the Rfam family "Bacterial small subunit ribosomal RNA", at positions 130 to 871 of the family's 1533-position model. The record is from RNAcentral.